Molecule: ribosomal RNA, 253 nt
Filed under: uncultured bacterium
Lineage: Bacteria
Description: partial 16S ribosomal RNA
Rfam family: Bacterial small subunit ribosomal RNA
Source: RNAcentral
UACGAAGGGGGCUAGCGUUGCUCGGAAUCACUGGGCGUAAAGGGUGCGUAGGCGGGUUUUUAAGUCAGGGGUGAAAUCCCGGAGCUCAACUCCAGAACUGCCUUUGAUACUGAAGAUCUUGAGUCCGGGAGAGGUGAGUGGAACUGCGAGUGUAGAGGUGAAAUUCGUAGAUAUUCGCAAGAACACCAGUGGCGAAGGCGGCUCACUGGCCCGGUACUGACGCUGAGGCACGAAAGCGUGGGGAGCAAACAGG